Salmo salar (Atlantic salmon) is the source of this 932-nucleotide long non-coding RNA. RefSeq lists it as uncharacterized. Lineage: Eukaryota; Metazoa; Chordata; Actinopteri; Salmoniformes; Salmonidae. The record is from RefSeq and is a predicted model, not a curated record.
GUCACAUAUUGAAAGCGCUCACAACAAGAGAACUAGUUACGGUCACUGAUUAGGCUUUCGGAAUCAAGUGGAAUCGAGAGAGAAAAAUCCAGUUGGAGUUGAGAGUGAGUAAAUGAGCGUACCUCACAGGAUACCAAGACUCUCACACUAAAGAAGAUCUUCUAGGGUCUGAAGUGGAGGGUUUAUUUGGUAUACAGAUGCAGGGUUGGACCAGCUAUUGAGUUACUAACAGAGCCCUAUACAUCCAGAACCCAGGUCUCACAAACUGUAUUUACUGUAUCCAUCGCUGAGAACAUUGAGAGAUGGCUCUGGAAAGUGUUCCAGACCGCCCUGACCCGGCAGGGUCACCAGAGGACUGGGUCCAGUGGGCUGUGCAGCGCCUGCAGAUGGAGCCCUGGGCGUUGGGGGGCAUUGUGGUCAUAGGGCUGUUCCUGCUGAUGAUCCUGGCCCUGGUGGUCUUCGCUCUAAUAUAUGGCUGUUGCUGCUCACCUGGAGGGGGGAAGAGGAGGAUGAAGACGGGGGUGCUUUAGAGAAGUGUGUCCCACUCUCCAUGACUGUUCUACGGCCAUUUAGAUUUUCUGUACCCCCUACGUCUACGAUGACUUUUCCAAAAGAAAAGACGGUGCAAAAAAAGCUUCCAGCCCAAGCAUUAUUAAUGGGACCAUCAUUUAAACAAACACGCUGAGGAAUGUCUGAAUUGGCAAGUAAUUCGAUCAAGUCAAGGCAAUAACGUUCAUAAAUUGAUCAUAAGUAUUUGAUUAUGAAAAUGUGCUGUUUGAUUAUAAUUAAAUGUUGAAACUUUAAAUGAAUCCUUUCAGUAAAUUGAUUUGUGUAUUUGAUUAUGAAAAUUUGCUGUUUGAUUAUAAUUAUUGUUGAAACUUUAAAUGAAUCCUUUCAAUAAAAAACUAUAUGCAUGCGCAUAUCAAAAGCGA